This 226-nucleotide ribosomal RNA is filed under the name uncultured bacterium. RNAcentral's name for it is "partial 16S ribosomal RNA". It matches the Rfam family "Bacterial small subunit ribosomal RNA", at positions 118 to 343 of the family's 1533-position model. The record is from RNAcentral.
UGAGCAACCUGCCCUUGACUCUGGAAUAACAGUUGGAAACAGCUGCUAAUACCGGAUACGACCUCCGACGGCAUCAUCUGGAGGUGGAAAGCUCCGACGGUCAAGGAUGGGCUCGCGGCCUAUCAGCUUGUUGGUGAGGUAACGGCUCACCAAGGCGACGACGGGUAGCUGGUCUGAGAGGAUGGCCAGCCACAGUUGGGACUGAGACACGGCCCAGAUCCUAACG